GAUGAACGCUGGCGGCGUGCCUAAUACAUGCAAGUCGAGCGAACUGAUUAGAAGCUUGCUUCUAUGACGUUAGCGGCGGACGGGUGAGUAACACGUGGGCAACCUGCCUGUAAGACUGGGAUAACUUCGGGAAGCCGAAGCUAAUACCGGAUAGGAUCUUCUCCUUCAUGGGAGAUGAUUGAAAGAUGGUUUCGGCUAUCACUUACAGAUGGGCCCGCGGNGCAUUAGCUAGUUGGUGAGGUAACGGCUCACCAAGGCAACGAUGCAUAGCCGACCUGAGAGGGUGAUCGGCCACACUGGGACUGAGACACGGCCCAGACUCCUACGGGAGGCAGCAGUAGGGAAUCUUCCGCAAUGGACGAAAGUCUGACGGAGCAACGCCGCGUGAGUGAUGAAGGCUUUCGGGUCGUAAACUCUGUUGUUAGGGAAGAACAAGUACGAGAGUAACUGC
RNAcentral lists this ribosomal RNA (451 nucleotides) under uncultured bacterium. RNAcentral's name for it is "bacterial SSU rRNA". It matches the Rfam family "Bacterial small subunit ribosomal RNA", at positions 28 to 467 of the family's 1533-position model. The record is from RNAcentral.